This 1025-nucleotide long non-coding RNA is filed under the name Oryctolagus cuniculus (rabbit). RNAcentral's name for it is "lncRNA (ENSOCUG00000030915.1)". The record is from RNAcentral. Lineage: Eukaryota; Metazoa; Chordata; Mammalia; Lagomorpha; Leporidae.
AGCCCUGGCGGUGCCCACGGGGCAGCCGCCGCGCAGGUAACAGCACGCCUUGCUGAAGAAGGCGAAGCGCCCACGUCGGACGCCGCCCCUUUCAAGGGGCUCCAUUUUCCAGGACGCAGUUCGGACAUCACCUUCUUUGGUGAGGUCUCCACUGCCUCCUCCCUCCUUCCAGCACCAAACAAGGAAUCUCUUGUCCGGGAUCCCGCUGAGUACCACGACCUGGAAAGGAUAGAGAAAAUGAAAUUAAAGACAUGGCCAAGAGUAAGAGGAGCCUGUCCCUGCCAGGAAAGAUGUCCAGAAGAAUCCAUUUCACCCUGUCCUCCAAGAUCUCGUGGUGUUUGUGCUGUUUCAAUUAUGUCCAAGUUGACGUACGGUGAUGAAAGGUUUUUCCCUGAGAAUUCUGAUCAUGGAUGUCAAGAAAAAAGUAUCAGGAUGAGAGAAAUAUCUCGCAGCCCCAGGGACUGAGGAUAGACAGUGGGGAAGCAGUGGAAAAGAGGCUGCUCUCUGAAUGCCCCGAACCCUGGAUGAAGGCAGAGUUGCAUGGUUUUAAAAUCACUAAUGUCAGGGCCAACAUUGUGGCACAGCAGGUUAAGUCACCCACUGUGAGGACGGCAUCCCACAUGGGCACCGGUUCGGUUCUGUCUGCUUCACUUCUGAUCCAGGUCCCUGCUAAUGGCUUGGGAAAACAGUGGAAGAUGGAGCAAGUGCUUGGACCUCUGAAGAGACCUGGAAGAAGCUCCUGGCUUGUAGCUUUGGCCAGGCCUGGCCCUGGUCAUAGUGGCCAUUUGGGGAGGGAACCAGCAGAUGGGAAAUCUCUCUCUCUCUCUUCCUCUCUCCCUCUCUCCCUCUCUCUCUCUCCCACCAUCUCUGUAACUCUUGUUUUUCAAGCAAAUAAAUGCACCUUUUUUAAAAAAUCCACUAACGUCAUUACUCAUUGGCAAUCUGUUUCUAGCACAAUUUUAGCUUCUAAUUGUAUUCAGUUCCUGGUGGGCUGUUGUAUGUGUUCAAUCUCUUUGUUCCCAUGA